Molecule: ribosomal RNA, 299 nt
Filed under: uncultured alpha proteobacterium 251ev
Lineage: Bacteria; Pseudomonadati; Pseudomonadota; Alphaproteobacteria
Description: partial 16S ribosomal RNA
Rfam family: Bacterial small subunit ribosomal RNA
Source: RNAcentral
GAGUUUGAUCCUGGCUCAGAACGAACGCUGGCGGCAGGCUUAACACAUGCAAGUCGAACGGUUGUAGCAAUACAGCAGUGGCGCACGGGUGAGUAACGCGUGGGAACGUACCCUUCAGUUCGGGAUAACAGCGGGAAACUGCUGCUAAUACCGGAUAUUCCCUCCGGGGGAAAGAUUUAUCGCUGAAGGAUCGGCCCGCGUGAGAUUAGGUAGUUGGUGGGGUAAUGGCCUACCAAGCCUACGAUCUCUAGCUGGUCUGAGAGGAUGAUCAGCCACACUGGAACUGAGACACGUCCAGA